RNAcentral lists this ribosomal RNA (720 nucleotides) under uncultured bacterium. Its description in RNAcentral is "bacterial SSU rRNA". It matches the Rfam family "Bacterial small subunit ribosomal RNA", at positions 28 to 800 of the family's 1533-position model. The record is from RNAcentral.
AACGAACGCUGGCGGCAUGCCUAAUACAUGCAAGUCGAACGCACCGUAAGGUGAGUGGCGCACGGGUGAGUAACACGUGGGAAUCUGCCUAGCAGUGGGGAAUAACCAAGGGAAACUUUGGCUAAUACCGCAUACGCCCUUCGGGGGAAAGAUUUAUCGCUGUUAGAUGAGCCCGCGUCCGAUUAGCUAGUUGGUGAGGUAAUGGCUCACCAAGGCUACGAUCGGUAGCUGGUCUGAGAGGAUGAUCAGCCACACUGGGACUGAGACACGGCCCAGACUCCUACGGGAGGCAGCAGUAGGGAAUAUUGGACAAUGGGGGAAACCCUGAUCCAGCAAUGCCGCGUGAGUGAUGAAGGCCUUAGGGUUGUAAAGCUCUUUCGGCGGGGACGAUGAUGACGGUACCCGCAGAAGAAGCUCCGGCUAACUUCGUGCCAGCAGCCGCGGUAAUACGAAGGGGGCUAGCGUUGUUCGGAAUUACUGGGCGUAAAGCGUGCGCAGGCGGUUGUACAGGACAGGUGUGAAAUCCCAGAGCUCAACUCGGGAACUGCCUUUGAAACUGUGAGACUCGAGUGCNNCAGAGGUGAGUGGAAUUCCCAGUGUAGAGGUGAAAUUCGUAGAUAUUGGGAAGAACACCGGUGGCGANNNUCACUGNCACGUUACUGACGCUGAUGCACGAAAGCGUGGGGAGCAAACAGGAUUAGAUACCCCGGUAGUCCUAGC